Molecule: non-coding RNA, 1085 nt
Organism: Durio zibethinus
Lineage: Eukaryota; Viridiplantae; Streptophyta; Magnoliopsida; Malvales; Malvaceae
Source: RefSeq, a predicted model, not a curated record
UCCCAAUUCAACUGUGAGCAUUAUGGCACAUGCACUAGUGGGUAAUGAGAUGAUAAACCAGAAUGUGUUUACGGUUAAUUGAUCUUCAGCCUGCUUUGAAAUUUUUGUAGUUGUCAUUUGUGCUUCUUGGAGAUCUUCCUAGUUUACUUUGUCAUACAUGUUGAUUUAGUGUACCAUUACAAUGGGAUCUGCAGCAACCUUUAUAGAUUGUGACGAGAGCUGGAAAUUAUUAUUGGUCACAAGGAAAGGAUCUUUGUAUUUAUGGGAUCUCUUCAAUAGGAACUGUCUCCUCCAUGAUUCAUUAGCGUCUCUAAUCACUUUGGACCUUAGCUCGUCUCCGCAAGGGUUGUAGAUGAUUGCUUCCCUACGUCAAAAUUUUCUAGUUCUUGGAAUUUGGGUUCAAUUCAGGCUGGUGAGUUAGCUGCACUGUAGGUGGAUGUUAGGAAAUAUUUGGCCAGAAAGCCCAGCUGGAAUAGGUAACUGAUGAUGGAGUGCAGACACGUGCUCAUUUAGAAGCUUAGUUGGUAUUGUCUUUGGCUUUGAAAUCCUCUAAUGAAUGUCACCGGAGCCUUCUUUCCUACAUACGUUUCCUAGCAAGAGAAGCAGAUGAGUCUUGUGUGCGAGAAGUCUGUGAAAGUUUUCUCAGGCCAUCAUCUAGAAUGGCUUCAGAUUCCAAGAAUCCUUCUUGGGAUCCUUAUGUGCUUUCGUUGAGGAAAAGAAGAAAAAAUAGUGGGAUGGUAUGAAAAUAUUUAGGUUGUUUCAAGUUAGAAUGCUCUAAUGUUGUGAACCAUUUUGUAGUUGUGUUUGAGGACUUUUGUUAAAUGGUUUUGUAUAUGCUAAAAGUUCUAUGUUUCACAAUAUUUGUGCCCAAGUAAGUACAAGAAUAGUGUCAUUAGCUUCAAUGAGUUUUCUUUUGUAAUGGCAAAGUCAGCCUUAGAAUUUCUAGACCCCUAGAAUUUCUAGACAUUAGUUUGUCAUCAUAACCAAUCUCUUUUUGUAAACAAUGUAGACACUUUAUUUUGUCUUUGAAUAUUUUGAAAUUCAUUGGGUUUCGAAUUUUAAUUUUGAUAGUACAAUUGAGCCUU